ACUGCUAUCGAGGUUCACUAAGCCAUGCGAGUCGAAUGUAGCAAUACAUGGCGUACUGCUCAGUAACACGUGGAUAACCUACCCUUAGGACGGGGAUAAACCCGGGAAACUGGGUAUAAUACCCGAUAGAUCUCGACUGCUGGAAUGCAUCGAGAUCUAAAGCUCCGGCGCCAAAGGAUGGAUCUGCGGCCUAUCAGGUAGUAGUGGGUGUAGCGUACCUACUAGCCUACGACGGGUACGGGUUGUGAGAGCAAGAGCCCGGAGAUGGAUUCUGAGACACGAAUCCAGGCCCUAUGGGGUGCAGCAGGCGCGAAAACUUUACAAUGCCGGCAACGGCGAUAAGGGGACCUCGAGUGCCAGGUUACAAAUCUGGCUGUCGAGAUGCCUAAAAAGCAUUUCAUAGCAAGGGCCGGGCAAGACCGGUGCCAGCCGCCGCGGUAACACCGGCGGCUCGAGUGGUAACCGUUAUUAUUGGGUCUAAAGGGUCUGUAGCCGGCCGGAUAAGUCUCUUGGGAAAUCUGUCAGCUUAACUGUCAGGCUUUCAGGAGAUACUGUCUGGCUCGAGGCCGGGAGAGGUGAGAGGUACUUCAGGGGUAGGGGUGAAAUCUUGUAAUCCUUGAAGGACCACCAGUGGCGAAGGCGUCUCACCAGAACGGACCUGACGGCAAGGGACGAAAGCUAGGGGCACGAACCGGACUAGAUACCCGGGUAGUCCUAGCCGUAAACGAUACUCGCUAGGUGUCGGCCACGGUGCGACCGUUGUCGGUGCCGUAGGGAAGCCGUGAAGCGAGCCACCUGGGAAGUACGGCCGCAAGGCUGAAACUUAAAGGAAUUGGCGGG
RNAcentral lists this ribosomal RNA (840 nucleotides) under uncultured archaeon. RNAcentral's name for it is "bacterial SSU rRNA". It matches the Rfam family "Archaeal small subunit ribosomal RNA", at positions 26 to 872 of the family's 1478-position model. The record is from RNAcentral.